GAGCGUGAUGACAUGGAUUUUUGUCGCCCCAGUCUUAGGAUCCGGCUCGCCGGACCUGUGCUGAUUGACAUACGUUAUCUAAUCUGACUC
This is a non-coding RNA of Triticum urartu, 90 nucleotides long. Lineage: Eukaryota; Viridiplantae; Streptophyta; Magnoliopsida; Poales; Poaceae. The record is from Rfam.